RNAcentral lists this long non-coding RNA (1591 nucleotides) under Piliocolobus tephrosceles (Ugandan red Colobus). RNAcentral's name for it is "lncRNA (ENSPTEG00000000044.1)". Lineage: Eukaryota; Metazoa; Chordata; Mammalia; Primates; Cercopithecidae. The record is from RNAcentral.
AUGUAUAUAUAUUUUUAUAAAAAUAAUAAAACUUAAGACUAAUAAACAAAAAAAAAAAAGAAAAAGAAAAAGAAAAAAAAAAAAUAUAUAUUUAUAUAUAUAUAUGAAAAAAACAGUUCCCUCUCACCUCAUAAGAAAAAAAUAAACAAUGGACCAUUAUAAAUAAGAACAAAAUAAAAUCGAAAAAAAAUAAAAAUAAAAUAAAUAAAUAAAUAAAUAAAUAAGUUUUUACAUACAUAGAAAACGAGUUAUAAAUAUUUUUAACAUAUAUAUAUAUAUAUAUAUAAAUAUAAAUAAAACGCUUGGAAAAAAAAAGAGAAAGUGUUUUUACAAAGAAAACAAAUUAUAAUUUCUUUUUCAUAUAUAUAUAUAUAUAUAUCAACAUAAAUCUCUUGUAAACAAAAAUAUAAUGAACAGCAUUUGAAUAUUUCUCAUAUAUAUAUGUAUAUGCUAUUAUAUAAUUUAAUUGCUGUAUUUGUAAUGCUUGUACAGUUAUUUAUAUUUUGUAUUGUAUACAUACAUAAAUUAUACUUAUAGAUAAAAAAUUCAAAAGUAAAGUGCGUCAUUCGUUACAGCAAAUAGUUAAUUUUUUUAUAAUUAUACAUGUAAAAACAUAACAAAUGCCAAUUAUAGAUAGAUAUAUAUAUAUAUAUAUAUAUAUAUAUUAUUUAUUUAUAAACUAUUUACUUUUAAACAACUAUACAUGUAGUUCAAGUAAUACAUUUUUUAUUAUUAAUAAUAUACAUUUAAAAAGAUUAUUUAUACAAUAUAAACAAGCGCAUGUAUAAUGUAUAUAUUAUCCCCUUUUUUUUUUAUUUAAAACAAUAACAUAAAUAACAUAAAUAACAUAAAUAACAAAAAAACCAAAAAAAAGAAAAAAAAAAACAAAAAAAAAAAAAAAAAAGUAAAAAAUGGCACUCUUCAAACCUAUAACAUUAACAAGGAAUAAAAAUAAAAUAUGUGACAUCGACCAGAGUUUGAUUAAGUUCAAUAUUAUGACACAAGGAUAUGAAGAAGGAUGUGUUAUAAAGUCUAUAAGUAUAUGUAAGGAAUAUGUCGCUUUAAGUAAAAACGCAUUGGUAAUAGUAGCUUGUGUAAAAAGCGGUAUGAAAAGAAAACAACAGUGCAAGGAGAAUGUGAGUAAAUUAAAAUUCCGAGAUAGUAAUAUGUUAGGAAUUGGUAUGGAAAAUGGUGAUAUCGAUUUAUUAGGUGUUGGCCUUUUUGAUAUUAUAAAAAAAUUAAAAGGUCAUAAAUCAUCUAUUACAGAUUUAGUCUUUGACACAGAUUUUAGUAAAUUAUAUUCGUGUUCAAGAGAUUUCACCAUAAAAAUAUGGAAUAUAUGGGAAGGUUUAUGUAAAAACACGUUGGAUUAUCAUGUUGAUAAUGUAACAAGUAUUUGUUUAUUUAAUAAUAAUAAUAAUAAUAAUUAUUUAAUAAGUUCUGGUUAUGAUGGUUAUAUUUAUUUUUAUGACAACAAGUUAGAAAAACAAACAAAAAAAAUUAGAAAUGGACGAACCUAUAGAAUGUUUCACAAUUUUUAAUAAUACCUACAUAGUUCUCGCAAUAAAAAAACCGAAUUAAAAUAUAUACA